ACAGGCUCCUAUCGAAGCCGUUCCUGCUGUUGUGUAGCAGUGAAUGGUCAAAGGGAAGCCAAGAUGAAAACUUUCACUGACGGUCGCUGCUCAGCUUCUGAAAAAAAAUAGCUGAUGCAGCAACAUUUUUGGGGAAGGACAUUG
Doryrhamphus excisus (bluestripe pipefish) is the source of this 144-nucleotide small nucleolar RNA. The record is from RefSeq and is a predicted model, not a curated record. NCBI's taxonomy places the organism in Eukaryota, Metazoa, Chordata, Actinopteri, Syngnathiformes, Syngnathidae.